Molecule: small RNA, 125 nt
Filed under: Marmota monax (woodchuck)
Lineage: Eukaryota; Metazoa; Chordata; Mammalia; Rodentia; Sciuridae
Source: RNAcentral
GCUGGGUGCGGUGGCACACACCUGUAAUCCCAGUGGCUCAGGAGGCUGAGACAGGAGGAUCAUAAGUUCAAAGCCAGCCUCAGCAAAAGAGAGGUGCUAAGUAACUCAGUGAGACCCUGUCUCUA